AACCCGCUAUACCCUCGCGGUCAUCUUUAUUAUUCUUUUUAUAUACAUGCCACUAAACUAACCUUAAAACUACCGCCAUAACCCCCAAAAAACCCCCAGCAGUAAUCAAUAUUAGGCAAUAAUCGACAGAUCGACCUAGAAAAAAGAAACAAAACCGGCUAAUCUUGUGCCAGCAGCCGCGGUUAUACAAGAAAGUUUUAAUAAAGACACCCGGUAUAAAAAUGGCUAUUAAUAAACCCUUAAAAGAAACCGACUAGCAGUAAAAUGCUCAUCAGAAUUAAAACAAAAGGACAAACAAAACCAUCAAAGCCAAAACCCAAACCAGGACUAGAUACCCUGUUAUCUUUGGCCCCAACCAACUAAAAUACAAAACACACCAACCCAGUAAGUGCCCAGCACCAAAUGCAAAGAGUUUGGCGGUAUCUUAAACCCAAUUAGAGGGGCUUGUCUUUUAAACCGAUAACCCGCGCUUUACCUUACCCUUCCUUGUCCAUUCAGCCUGUAUACCCUCGUCGUCAGCACUCCUUACAAAAGUCAGACUACACAAUAGCCCUAACCACCGACGACAGAUCGAGGUGCAGCCUAUGAAAGGGGACUCGAUGAGCCACAACCCUAACAAAGCGACCCCACAACAUGAAAAUCACGCUAAAGUAGAAUUUAAUUGUAAUGAAAAAACCACAUUCUCAUGAAACAGGCCCUAAGAUAUACACACAUCGCCCGUCACUUCCCUUAAUAACCCCAUAUUAAUUAAAACAACCCAUAAACAAGGGAAUAAGUCGCAACACAGUAGGUGUACCGGAAGGUGCACCUGGAACACC
Molecule: ribosomal RNA, 818 nt
Filed under: Stereobalanus canadensis
Lineage: Eukaryota; Metazoa; Hemichordata; Enteropneusta; Harrimaniidae
Description: 12S ribosomal RNA
Source: RNAcentral